UACGGAGGGUGCAAGCGUUAUCCGGAUUCACUGGGCUUAAAGGGCGCGUAGGCGGGCCUGUAAGUCCGUGGUGAAAUCUCCGAGCUUAACUUGGAAACUGCCAUGGAUACUAUAGGUCUUGAAUACUGUGGAGGUAAGCGGAAUAUGUCAUGUAGCGGUGAAAUGCUUAGAUAUGACAUAGAACACCGAUAGCGAAGGCAGCUUGCUACACAGUUAUUGACACUGAGGCACGAAAGCGUGGGGAGCAAACAGG
This 253-nucleotide ribosomal RNA is filed under the name uncultured bacterium. Its description in RNAcentral is "partial 16S ribosomal RNA". It matches the Rfam family "Bacterial small subunit ribosomal RNA", at positions 524 to 776 of the family's 1533-position model. The record is from RNAcentral.